Molecule: unclassified non-coding RNA, 582 nt
Filed under: Talaromyces muroii
Lineage: Eukaryota; Fungi; Ascomycota; Eurotiomycetes; Eurotiales; Trichocomaceae
Description: sequence contains 18S rRNA gene, ITS1, 5.8S rRNA gene, ITS2, 28S rRNA gene
Rfam family: 5.8S ribosomal RNA (bases 220-373)
Source: RNAcentral
UCGUAACAAGGUUUCCGUAGGUGAACCUGCGGAAGGAUCAUUACCGAGUGCGGGCCCUCGCGGCCCAACCUCCCACCCUUGUCUCUAUACACCUGUUGCUUCGGCGGGCCCACCGGGGCCACCUGGUCGCCGGGGGACGCACGUCCCCGGGCCCGCGCCCGCCGAAGCGCUGUGAACCCUGAUGAAGAUGGACUGUCUGAGUACUAUGAAAAUUGUCAAAACUUUCAACAAUGGAUCUCUUGGUUCCGGCAUCGAUGAAGAACGCAGCGAAAUGCGAUAAGUAAUGUGAAUUGCAGAAUUCCGUGAAUCAUCGAAUCUUUGAACGCACAUUGCGCCCCCUGGCAUUCCGGGGGGCAUGCCUGUCCGAGCGUCAUUUCUGCCCUCAAGCACGGCUUGCGUGUUGGGUGUGGUCCCCCCCGGGACCUGCCCGAAAGGCAGCGGCGACGUCCGUCUGGUCCUCGAGCGUAUGGGGCUCUGUCACUCGCUCGGGAAGGACCUGCGGGGGUUGGUCACCACCAUAUUUUACCACGGUUGACCUCGGAUCAGGUAGGAGUUACCCGCUGAACUUAAGCAUAUCAAUAA